Long non-coding RNA from Siniperca chuatsi (mandarin fish), 2875 nucleotides. RefSeq lists it as uncharacterized. Lineage: Eukaryota; Metazoa; Chordata; Actinopteri; Centrarchiformes; Sinipercidae. The record is from RefSeq and is a predicted model, not a curated record. The transcript has 7 exons.
GGCAUGUUCCUGGGGGAGGCAGGGUGCGGGAUGCAGGGUAAUGAAUCGGACCACAGGGGUCACAGUGCCACUGUCACCUCUUCUCAUGCGCGGUAAUGAGCUGAGGUCAACGGAGAGGAAGUGCCUGGCAAAAACCCGGAGAAACAACAUCCCUCUGCAGCACUGCUGCUCCCCAGCAAACCUCAUUAACUGGGCUUCAACCCCAGCUACAACCCUGGCCUUUAUACACACGCAUAACUGGAGUGCCAUUGAGCAAAGCACAUCAUCAACAAAUGCCCCAGUGGAGCUGUUCAGUGGCUGAGGAUCAGACUGUGGUUUUCCUGGAUAGCUUUCAGGCUGAUUCGACCUCUUUGACUGUGUGGCUGUGAGAAGAAUGAGUUUGAUUGACAUCUCCCUCCAGUGUUAAGGUUCCGUGUGCCAGUCCUGAUGUGGGUGUGCUGAGCUGGAAUCAGUUCCCCCGAAAGAUUCGAAAUGGAAAGCCUUGUUUCAGCCUCUCUGCACCAAAUUAGAUUGCGUCCUUGUGUCAAGGGGAGCUGUUUGUUUUUGUCGAGUUUCUCUUUGUCGAAAGGUCAAAUGAGCAGGCCUAGGAGUGUCCCAAGCAGCCUUUUGUCACACAUUAUUUAUGGGUAUUCUACAACAGAUGGGUACAGCAAAGGCCUAGGCUAUACAGUUGAUAUAGGGAUACAAGGCUGUUCAUUCUCUGCCAAAUGGCAUUUUGGUAUGGGUCAAAACAGGAGCAAGUCUACUAAACCGUAAGACUGUAACUGUAAGAGGAGAAAUUUAUGAGGAAAUACACACAGAGGAAGAACCAGUACAGAAAAACAGUGAAGUUUGUGAGAUCUUAAGUACAAAACUAAAAGAAAAAUACAAUAUUGGCAAAGGACAGUUUGGCACAACAGAUGCUGACUGGAUGUUUUUUUCCCUCUGCAGCUGAGAGGGUGUUGGAAUAAAUCAGUGUCAAACUCAGAGCUAAUGUCAAACACGUGAUGGUCAGUGACAGUUUGAGUGAUGACUGCAUUAUUGAGCUAUAAACUGCAGUCCCAAUUUGACAAUAGUAAUGGUAUGCUUCCUGGACAGAUUUUUGUCAGGCAUGAAAGGAAGCUAUAUGUCAAACUGUUCUAUAUCUACAGGAUGUGGCGCUACAGAGGGGGGAAAAAAAGGGUUCCGCUUUGUUUUUCAUUUCACAGUUUGAGAUCUCCAAAUAGUGAAUGUAAUCACUCAUUUGGCGGUCAGUGGAUGAAGACAGUCACAUUUUGAGAUGAAAAAAUGGUAAUGACAUUUCAUUAAAAUAAACCAUUAUCAUGAUUAUCUGCCAGUAACAAUUUGCAGCUAAUUAUGUUAAUAUACUGUUCAUGUAAUAACAUUUCCAUGUCUAAGGACAGAGGCUGUCGAAUGCUGUGCAGAUUGUAAAGCCCCCUGAGGCAAAUUUGUGAUUUGUGAUAUUGGGCUGUAUAAAUAUGAAAAACUGACUUUAACGUUGACGUAUUCAUUUUUAAAUAUUUGGUUCAAUUAGAAAAGCAUGGUUAAUUAUUUAACUUUUUAAGAGUGUAAAAACUGAACUGAUAUAAUUUGUAGAACUACUGUAAAUACACUGUCAGCCACUCAAAUUUGCUAUACCUGAAACAAAUGCAGAUUUAUGGAGGAGUUCAUUAAUGACUUAUUUUAGAUUAGAAAUUUGAUUACAUUAACAGAAUGAAUUUGCUAUGAACUACAAACUCAAAGCCUGUUCUGUAAAAAUUACAUAAAUCUAAUGUGCAACAGUAAAUACGAGAGAAACAUAAUGCUGCCUGGAUUACAUUUUUUAAGCAACAUAAUAAGUAAAUGUUAAUCAAUGUUUUGCAAAGCUACAGAAUGUUCAUACUGAAAGUAUCUGCUAAACAUUCACAUUGACAAUGUAUUUAUUUUGUUUUCCUACAUUAUGGCAAUACAAUUAAUGCUUUUAUGGUUAUGUUUCGGCAACUCAAAGCACUUGGUUAAGAUAUGGGAAAGAUUAUCAAUUUGGUUAAAUAAAUAUAAAACAAAACAUCCUAUCUUGUGUCAAGGCCCCCCAGGCCCCUUCAUUGCCAUUUUCCUUCCAUCCACCAGGUGCCCUCGGACUUUCCCUCCUUUCCCCAUCACCUGACUGCCCCACCCCUCUUCACACCUGUUCCCACUUUCCUCAUCUGCUCUGCAAUUGCCUGGCCUUCCCCACCCACCUCCUCACCUGUUUCCGUUUUCCAGUGUCAGCCCUGCGGUACUUAACCAGCCCUUUUCCCUUCACUCCUUGUCAGUUCAUGCUAGUUGUUUUGUUGGUUUCUUGCUGUUACUUGAUGUUUGGCCUGCAGAAUAUAGCCUUGUGUAUAGGAAUAUUGUUGUCCGUGAACAUAAUCCACAGAGCAAUUCUUUUCUCUCCAAAAAAAAAGGUACAGGUGUAGGUCCAGGUAACAAUCAGCUCAAAGCAAAAUCCAACAUUGCAACUGGGAUAAACUGACAAAGAACAAAUGAGACACACACGAAGGACAACUGGACACAGGUGAAACUAAUCAGGGCGGGGCAGACAAUCAAAACUGGAGGGAAAAGAGACAAAGGCAGGAAGUAACACACAAAAUACAAGAGCAGAGCAAGUAAUCAGAGACGAGAGUUUUUAUCAUCCACAAGACCAAAUCCAGAACUCCAUCACGAAUUUGACAGAAGCAAAUGUUUGACAAGCUACUAAACUGAAGGGGAGCCACCUGCGGCACCGGCACUCUGGAAAAUGCUACAUAUGUAACAACAUGUUUAUUCCAAAAACAAAGUCUGUAAAGGGAACGAUUUAAUGACAAUUUAAUGUGUUUUUAUGUUGACAAAUUGUAAAAGAUUUAACCGCCACUUUAAAACUGAAUAAAAUAUAUUUCAG